This 422-nucleotide ribosomal RNA is filed under the name uncultured archaeon. RNAcentral describes it as "partial 16S ribosomal RNA". It matches the Rfam family "Archaeal small subunit ribosomal RNA", at positions 323 to 746 of the family's 1478-position model. The record is from RNAcentral.
CUACGGGCGGCAGCAGUCACGGAAACUUUACAAUGCGCGAAAGCGUGAUAAGGGUAUCCCAAGUGCUUUGCUUAUUGUAAGGCUUUUGCCAAGUGUAAAGAGCUUGGCGAAUAAGUGGUGGGUAAGACUGGUGCCAGCCGCCGCGGUAACACCAGCGCCACAAGUGGUAACCACGUUUAUUGGGCCUAAAGCGUUCGUAGCCGGUUUGAUAAGUUUCUUGUGAAAUUGUUUGGCCUAACCAAACAACGUGCAAGAAAUACUGUCUAACUUGGGACCGGGAGGAGUUAGAGGUAUUCCAUGGGGAGCGGUAAAAUGCUAUAAUCCUUGGAGGACCACCAAUGGCGAAGGCUUCUAACUAGAACGGAUCCGACGGUCAGGAACGAAGGCUAGGGGAGCAAAACGGAUUAGAUACCCCCGUAGUC